CCAUGCACAACACGCACACCCAUGCACACACACAGUCUUCUCUUUGUGCUUCUUCUCUCUUUAGUAUAUAUUCUGGGCUUCAUCCCUAUGAGAUUGGUAUUACAAAUCUCACCGACUCAACCAUGUUUGCUGUUGUGAUAGAAAACGAAGCAAGCAAGAGUUAUUUAUCAAGAUCCAUAUUAGAAUCUUGUUAUGUCACUCCAUGAAAUUGUUCGUCAGAAAUUGAACUGCCUUAUUUAAUCCAUGGAGUGACAU
Molecule: long non-coding RNA, 255 nt
Filed under: Elaeis guineensis (African oil palm)
Lineage: Eukaryota; Viridiplantae; Streptophyta; Magnoliopsida; Arecales; Arecaceae
Description: long non-coding RNA (EGUI_LNC022850)
Source: RNAcentral